Molecule: ribosomal RNA, 229 nt
Filed under: uncultured bacterium
Lineage: Bacteria
Description: partial 16S ribosomal RNA
Rfam family: Bacterial small subunit ribosomal RNA
Source: RNAcentral
UUCGUAGGCGGGCUAUUUAGUCAGAGGUGAAAGCCAUCGGCUCAACCGAUGAAUUGCCUCUGAUACUGGUAGUCUUGGGUCCGUUAGGGGGUGGUGGAAUUCCUGGUGAAGCGGUGAAAUGCGUAAAUAUCAGGAGGAACACCAGUGGCGAAGGCGACCACCUGGGACGGUACUGACGCUGAGGAACGAAAGCAUGGGUAUCAAACAGGAUUAGAUACCCUGGUAGUCC